AUUGAACGCUGGCGGCAGGCCUAACACAUGCAGGUCGAACGGUAGCACAGAGAGCUUGCUCUCGGGUGACGAGUGGCGGACGGGUGAGUAAUGUCUGGGAAACUGCCCGAUGGAGGGGGAUAACUACUGGAAACGGUAGCUAAUACCGCAUAACGUCGCAAGACCAAAGUGGGGGACCUUCGGGCCUCACACCAUCGGAUGUGCCCAGAUGGGAUUAGCCAGUAGGUGGGGUAAUGGCCCACCUAGGCGACGAUCCCUAGCUGGUGUGAGAGGAUGACCAGCCACGCUGGAACUGAGACACGGUCCAGAGUCCUACGGGAGGCAGCAGUGGGGAAUAUUGCACAUUGGGAUCAGGCCUGAUGCAGCCAUGCCGCGUGUAUGAAGAAGGCGUGCGGGUUGUAAAGUACUUACAGCGGGGAGGAAGGCGGUGAAGUUAAUAGCUUCACCGAUUGGCGUUACCCGCAGAAGAAGCACCGGCUAACUCCGUGCCAGCCGCCGCCGUAA
RNAcentral lists this ribosomal RNA (504 nucleotides) under uncultured bacterium. Its description in RNAcentral is "partial 16S ribosomal RNA". It matches the Rfam family "Bacterial small subunit ribosomal RNA", at positions 29 to 523 of the family's 1533-position model. The record is from RNAcentral.